ACAAAACUUUCAACAACGGAUCUCUUGGUUCUCGCAUCGAUGAAGAGCGCAGCGAAAUGCGAUACCUAGUGUGAAUUGCAGCCAUCGUGAAUCAUCGAGUUCUUGAACGCACAUUGCGCCCCUCGGCAUUCCGGGGGGCAUGCCUGUUUGAGCGUCGUU
This 159-nucleotide ribosomal RNA is filed under the name Pichia kudriavzevii. RNAcentral describes it as "5.8S ribosomal RNA". It matches the Rfam family "5.8S ribosomal RNA". From Rfam's summary of the family: 5.8S ribosomal RNA (5.8S rRNA) is a component of the large subunit of the eukaryotic ribosome. The record is from RNAcentral. Lineage: Eukaryota; Fungi; Ascomycota; Pichiomycetes; Pichiales; Pichiaceae.